RNAcentral lists this non-coding RNA (30 nucleotides) under Mus musculus (house mouse). Lineage: Eukaryota; Metazoa; Chordata; Mammalia; Rodentia; Muridae. The record is from RNAcentral.
UAGCCUCGUGGAGAAGCUUUGUGAAUGUUU